UCGUGAAAUAGAUAUGUAAAUUAUUAAGAAUACAAUAUAAAAUAAACAAUCAUAAUUUCAAUAUCAAUAAACUUGAAUUAACCAUGAUAAAUGACAUUAUUUCAAUGACACUAACCUUGCAUAAAGGAGAAAAUAAGUCUUGCAAGAAAAAAAAUCAAUAAAUAAACUUGCAAAAAGAUCAAAGAUGUGUCCACUACACAUGAAGUCCUUUAAUAAAAAAUUUAAUAACAAAUAUCUAAAAAUAUCAUUGGCCAUGGCAUUAAUUAAGGCAACAUGGUCGAUCAAAUUGUGCCAAAAGUGUUUUCUCAUAUUGAUCUGAAUUCAUUCAGAAAAGAGUUCAAUUGCAAAAAUAAUCUAGAAUUCAUAUAUUGUUAGAAUAAAGAAUAAAAAGAAGAUAUAAAUUAAUCUGUCCACUAAAAUGUCCUUUGUUUGCCUUUUGUCCGCAAAACACCACCACACAAUCUUCUUCAUGCGCAUAGCCAUAACAUCAAUCACAUAAUGCCGAGAGCUCCUUCCCUGCAUAUAGAUAGUAUCAGGGAAACUAUAAUCAAAUGAACAAUAUCUAUCACAAAAUACCCAUCAAAAAUAUGAAUUUACUGGACAUAUCUACACGUACAAGUUUAGUUCCAUCUACUUUCACCAAACUUCCAAGAAAAGGGUUCACUAAUCGUGUUUCGUUCUCUUAUUUUAUUUUUUUUAGUUUAU
RNAcentral lists this long non-coding RNA (705 nucleotides) under Panax ginseng (ginseng). RNAcentral's name for it is "long non-coding RNA (PGIN_LNC004022)". The record is from RNAcentral. Lineage: Eukaryota; Viridiplantae; Streptophyta; Magnoliopsida; Apiales; Araliaceae.